GAGGAUAUAGCUCAAGUGGUAGAGCACAUGCUUAACAUGCAUGAGGUCCUGGGUUCAAUCCCUAGUACCUCCU
Molecule: transfer RNA, 73 nt
Filed under: Camelus bactrianus (Bactrian camel)
Lineage: Eukaryota; Metazoa; Chordata; Mammalia; Artiodactyla; Camelidae
Also listed under: 2 other names
Rfam family: tRNA
About the family: Transfer RNA (tRNA) molecules are approximately 80 nucleotides in length. Their secondary structure includes four short double-helical elements and three loops (D, anti-codon, and T loops). Further hydrogen bonds mediate the characteristic L-shaped molecular structure. tRNAs have two regions of fundamental functional importance: the anti-codon, which is responsible for specific mRNA codon recognition, and the 3' end, to which the tRNAs corresponding amino acid is attached (by aminoacyl-tRNA synthetases). tRNAs cope with the degeneracy of the genetic code in two manners: having more than one tRNA (with a specific anti-codon) for a particular amino acid; and 'wobble' base-pairing, i.e. permitting non-standard base-pairing at the 3rd anti-codon position.
Source: Rfam by way of RNAcentral